AUUGAACGCUGGCGGCAGGCCUAACACAUGCAAGUCGAGCGAGCGGCGGGCGGGUGAGUAUGUAUGGGGACUGCCCGAUAGAGGGGGCUAACUACGGGAAACGGUAGCUGAUACAGCAUCCUAUCGGAUAACCCAUAUGGGAUUAGCUAGUAGGUGCGGUAAUGGCUCACCUAGGCGACGAUCCCUAGCUGGUCUGAGAGGAUGAUCAGCCACACUGGGACUGAGACACGGCCCAGACUCCUACGGAGGCAGCAGUGGGGAAUAUUGCACAAUGGGCGCAAGCCUGAUGCAGCCAUGCCGCGUGUAUGAAGAAGGCCCUAGGGUUGUAAAGGACUUUCAGUCGGGAGGCGGUAACGACAGAAGAAGCACCGGCUAACUCCGUGCCAGCAGCCGCGGUAAUUC
Molecule: ribosomal RNA, 402 nt
Filed under: uncultured bacterium
Lineage: Bacteria
Description: partial 16S ribosomal RNA
Rfam family: Bacterial small subunit ribosomal RNA
Source: RNAcentral